This 376-nucleotide ribosomal RNA is filed under the name uncultured bacterium. Its description in RNAcentral is "bacterial SSU rRNA". It matches the Rfam family "Bacterial small subunit ribosomal RNA", at positions 521 to 896 of the family's 1533-position model. The record is from RNAcentral.
UAAGACGGAGGGUGCAAGCGUUGUUCGGAUUUACUGGGCGUAAAGGGCGUGUAGGCGGAUUUGCAAGCCGGGGGUGAAAGGCCUGGGCUCAACCCAGGACGGUCUUCCGGAACUGCAUCUCUUGAGAGAGUCAGAGGCAGGUGGAAUUCCAGGUGUAGAGGUGAAAUUCGUAGAUAUCUGGAGGAACACCGGCGGCGAAGGCGGCCUGCUGGGGCUCUUCUGACGCUGAGGCGCGAAAGCGUGGGUAGCAAACAGGAUUAGAUACCCUGGUAGUCCACGCUGUAAACGAUGAGCACUAGAUGUGCGCGGUACGACCCCGCGUGUGUCGCAGCUAACGCGAUAAGUGCUCCGCCUGGGGACUACGGUCGCAAGACUA